ACUAGAAUGAAUGGUUAUAUGAAGACUAAACUGUCUCUUGCAGCCCGCCUAUGAAACUGAUCUCUUAGUUAAAAAGCUAAGAUUUUUCCACAAGACGAGAAGACCCUGUGGAGCUUCAAACCAAACUCAUAAUAUGACCCACCGGUUUUUAGUUGGGGCGACUUCGGAGAACAAAAAAUCCUCCGACCAACAACAAUAGAUCAACACAUCAAAGUACAACCAGACCCAGUAGCAUUAUUACUAACUGAUUAACGAACCAAGUUACCCCAGGGAUAACAGCGCCAUCCUCUUCUAGAGUCCCUAUCGACAAGAGGGAUUACGACCUCGAUGUUGGAUCAGGACACCCCUAUAGUGCAACCGCUAUAAACG
This 369-nucleotide ribosomal RNA is filed under the name Acanthodactylus tristrami. RNAcentral describes it as "partial 16S ribosomal RNA". It matches the Rfam family "Archaeal large subunit ribosomal RNA", at positions 2063 to 2639 of the family's 2987-position model. The record is from RNAcentral. Lineage: Eukaryota; Metazoa; Chordata; Lepidosauria; Squamata; Lacertidae.